AACGUACGCCUGGCGGCACGCCUAACACAUGCAAGUCGAACGAAGUAGCAAUACUUAGUGGCAGACGGGUGAGUAACAUGUAGGUAUCUGCCCUUUGGCCUGGAAUAACACGAGGAAACUUGUGCUAAUACCGGAUAAGUCUUCACGGAGAAAGCUUUAUGCACCAUUGGAUGAGCCUGCACUUGAUUAGUUUCGUUGGUGGGGUAAUGGCCUACCAAGACUGUGAUCAAUAGCUGAUUUGAGAGGAUGAUUCAGCCACAUUGGGACUGAGACACGGCCCAAACUCCUACGGGAGGCAGCAGUGGGGAAUCUUGCACAAUGGAGGAAACUCUGAUGCAGCGAUGCCGCGUGAGUGAAGAAGGCCCUUGGGUUGUAAAGCUCUUUCGUCGGGGAAGAAAAUGACUGUACCCGAAUAAGAAGGUCCGGCUAACUUCGUGCCAGCAGCCGCGGUAAUACGAAGGGACCUAGCGUAGUUCGGAAUUACUGGGCUUAAAGAGUUCGUAGGUGGUUGAAAAAGUUAGUGGUGAAAUCCCAGAGCUUAACUCUGGAACUGCCAUUAAAACUUUUCAGCUAGAGUAUGAUAGAGGAAAGCAGAAUUUCUAGUGUAGAGGUGAAAUUCGUAGAUAUUAGAAAGAAUACCAAUUGCGAAGGCAGCUUUCUGGAUCAUUACUGACACUGAGGAACGAAAGCAUGGGUAGCGAAGAGGAUUAGAUACCCUCGUAGUCCAUGCCGUAAACGAUGUGUGUUAGACGUUGGAAAUUUAUUUUCAGUGUCGCAGGGAAACCGAUAAACACAACGCCUGGGGAGUACGACCGCAAGGUUAAAACUCAAAUGAAUUGACGGGGACCCGCACAAGUAGUGGAGCAUGUGGUUUAAUUCGAAGAUACGCGCAGAACCUACCCAACACUGACAUGUUUCGUCGCGACUCUAAGAGAUUAGAGUUUUCGGUUCGGCCGGACGAAACACAGGUGCUGCAUGGCUGUCGUCAGCUCGUGUCGUGAGAUGUUGGGUUAAGUCCCGCAACGAGGCGCAACCCUCACUUUUAGUUGCCAUCAUUAAGUUGGGCACUCUGAAAGAACUGCCAGUGAUAAGCUGGAGGAAGGUGGGGAUGACGUCAAGUCCUCAUGGCCCUUACGUGUUGGGCUACACACGUGCUACAAUGGUAUCUACAACAGGAAGCAAGACUGCGAAGUUAAGCAAAUCCCUAAAAGAUACCUCAGUUCGGAUUGCACUCUGCAACUCGAGUGCAUGAAGCUGGAAUUACUAGUAAUCGUGGAUCAGCGUGCCACGGUGAAUGCGUUCCCGGGUCU
This 1310-nucleotide ribosomal RNA is filed under the name uncultured bacterium. Its description in RNAcentral is "bacterial SSU rRNA". It matches the Rfam family "Bacterial small subunit ribosomal RNA", at positions 28 to 1381 of the family's 1533-position model. The record is from RNAcentral.